UACGGAGGGAGCAAACGUUGUUCGGAUUUACUGGGCGUAAAGGGUGUGUAGGCGGUCUUGCAAGUCAGGGGUGAAAUCUCUCGGCUCAACCGAGAAACUGCCUUUGAGACUGCAGGACUUGAGGGCGUGAGAGGAGACUGGAAUUCCUAGUGUAGCGGUGAAAUGCGCAGAUAUCAGGAGGAACACCGGUGGCGAAGGCGGAUCUCUGGGCCAUUACUGACGCUGAGGAGCGAAAGCGUGGGGAGCGAACAGG
RNAcentral lists this ribosomal RNA (253 nucleotides) under uncultured bacterium. RNAcentral describes it as "partial 16S ribosomal RNA". It matches the Rfam family "Bacterial small subunit ribosomal RNA", at positions 524 to 776 of the family's 1533-position model. The record is from RNAcentral.